GAUGAACGCUGGCGGCGUGCCUAAUACAUGCAAGUCGAGCGAACAGACGAGGAGCUUGCUCCUCUGACGUUAGCGGCGGACGGGUGAGUAACACGUGGAUAAUCUACCUAUAAGACUGGGAUAACUUCGGGAAACCGGAGCUAAUACCGGAUAAUAUAUUGAACCGCAUGGUUCAAUAGUGAAAGACGGUUUUGCUGUCACUUAUAGAUGGAUCCGCGCCGCAUUAGCUAGUUGGUAAGGUAACGGCUUACCAAGGCAACGAUGCGUAGCCGACCUGAGAGGGUGAUCGGCCACACUGGAACUGAGACACGGUCCAGACUCCUACGGGAGGCAGCAGUAGGGAAUCUUCCGCAAUGGGCGAAAGCCUGACGGAGCAACGCCGCGUGAGUGAUGAAGGUCUUCGGAUCGUAAAACCCUGUUAUUAGGGAAGAACAAAUGUGUAAGUAACUAUGCACGUCUUGACGGUACCUAAUCAGAAAGCCACGGCUAACUACGUG
RNAcentral lists this ribosomal RNA (497 nucleotides) under uncultured bacterium. RNAcentral describes it as "partial 16S ribosomal RNA". It matches the Rfam family "Bacterial small subunit ribosomal RNA", at positions 28 to 507 of the family's 1533-position model. The record is from RNAcentral.